GGCUGCAGGUAGACCUCAUCCUGGGGGCCUUGGGAGCCAUCAGAAGUGCAGUCUCUCUGGCAGCAGUAAGAGUCAGAGCCCUGCUUAGAAAAGUCAGCUGACUGCCUACCUUUCCUCCAGAUGCCUCUUUCUCCUCUUCUGCCUUUCAAAGAAGCAGUAGUUGCCCCUACUAUGGAAGUCAGGAGAAAAGAGGUAGGAAGGAGAGGAGGAGCCUGAACGGACUGAGGCAGAAGGUGUGAGGAUCCGGAACAAGGUGCGGUUCAGAGAUGACGAGUCUCUGACAGAAUGGAUCGGAUUCUAGCAUCAGUGGGCACCGGCCACUUGCCAGGGGCCAACGGCUCCCAGUGGAUCCCAGGAUGGGGGGCUGCCUGGAUUCCCUUCUUCCCAUGCCCUGGCCUGUGAACCAGUAAAACCCUGCUCUGUGGCAUUUGCUGGUUUCCAUGGCAUAAACACUUACGCUGUGGCUGCCUUUCGGCUCUGUGCACCGUGACGUCACUGACCGCGGAGCUCGGAAGAGAUGCACAGCGAGCUCUUAUGACGGGGAUGAGCUCAUCCCAGCCCACAAGUUGGAGCCCACGUUAAGCCCCAGAAGUCAGCUUGCAGACUCGCAGAGCAUCAGGACUCAAGAGGCAAGGGACGGGAAGCCAGUUUAUUUUACCUCGGCCUUCCCGUCUGUGUCCCGGAGCCGGGGAUGACACCUUAUUUGCUGAGACCCACUGUGUGCCUGGCCCCAUGGGGCCCUGGACCAGAAGCCAAUGCCUGUGGGAUGAGGGGAUGACGGGCGGGCGGCUGGGCCCGGUUCCCCUGUGACCAGGGCGUGAGCCACAGCCCCGAACCAGCCCCUCUGCGCUUCCGGCUCCUUCACCGAGAAAUGCCCCCUCACGGACGUGCUGCGGGAACCCCCGGGGCGAAUGCAGGUGAGCGGAUGCUUCAGUUUUUAGUUGAAAA
This 948-nucleotide long non-coding RNA is filed under the name Canis lupus familiaris (dog). Its description in RNAcentral is "lncRNA (ENSCAFG00845014216.1)". The record is from RNAcentral. Lineage: Eukaryota; Metazoa; Chordata; Mammalia; Carnivora; Canidae.